Molecule: ribosomal RNA, 568 nt
Filed under: uncultured bacterium
Lineage: Bacteria
Description: bacterial SSU rRNA
Rfam family: Bacterial small subunit ribosomal RNA
Source: RNAcentral
CCUACGGGAGGCAGCAGUGGGGAAUAUUGCACAAUGGGCGAAAGCCUGAUGCAGCGACGCCGCGUGAGGGAUGACGGCCUUCGGGUUGUAAACCUCUUUCAGCAGGGAAGAAGCGAAAGUGACGGUACCUGCAGAAGAAGCACCGGCUAACUACGUGCCAGCAGCCGCGGUAAUACGUAGGGUGCGAGCGUUGUCCGGAAUUAUUGGGCGUAAAGAGCUUGUAGGCGGUUUGUCGCGUCUGCUGUGAAAAUCCGGGACUCAAUUCCGGACUUGCAGUGGGUACGGGCAGACUAGAGUACGGUAGGGGAGACUGGAAUUCCUGGUGUAGCGGUGAAAUGCGCAGAUAUCAGGAGGAACACCGAUGGCGAAGGCAGGUCUCUGGGCCGUAACUGACGCUGAGAAGCGAAAGCAUGGGGAGCGAACAGGAUUAGAUACCCUGGUAGUCCAUGCCGUAAACGUUGGGCGCUAGGUGUGGGGCUCAUUCCACGAGCUCUGUGCCGCAGCUAACGCAUUAAGCGCCCCGCCUGGGGAGUACGGCCGCAAGGCUAAAACUCAAAUGAAUUGACGG